Molecule: long non-coding RNA, 1208 nt
Organism: Eubalaena glacialis (North Atlantic right whale)
Lineage: Eukaryota; Metazoa; Chordata; Mammalia; Artiodactyla; Balaenidae
Exons: 7
Source: RefSeq, a predicted model, not a curated record
GUGUGGAGCGCGCACCCUUCUCAUCGUGGUGCUCGGGCUUUACGCCCCAAGAGGAGAAGAGGAGAAGUGCCUCUAGGACGAGCCGGUUGGAAGGGCUCAGCGUCCCCGGUCAAGUGUCUGCCGGUCGUGGCGGGUGCGCGCGGGAGAGAGCCGCCUGCCCCGUUCGUGUGCAUCCCUGGGCGGAGGGAAGUGGCCCGAGUGAGACGCCGGGAAUUUUGAGCAAGAGGUACCUCUACAAGGAUGGAAUUCGUAUACGAGAUAAGCAGACAUUCAAAGGACUCAUCCUUGGAACAGCUCUCUCCCAGUGUUUACUCAACUGCUUAGAGACACAAGUGUAGAAGUUGAAAAGAACGUGAACAUUUCAUGUCAGGCUCGGGGAGAACCAUAGCCCAUAAUUACAUGGAAUAAGGCUCUGCAGAAACGGCGGAGCCUGCAAGACAAGGAGCGUUUACAUGUUGAACGAGGCAGAAUGGUACAGUCGCUGAGUGAGUUCCAUCUCUGGGACGGGGCUGUGUGGAACCCUGAGGAGGAAAACAGCAAUGAUGGACACCAGCCGGAACAACCUCCCUCCCAGACUCGGGCUCUCCUCCUGAGCCAGGCUCACUGCUUCCCGAACUUUCUUCCCUGAGGAUGAGUUCUCUUCCCUGAUGGCCUCAGCUCCUUUGAAAGGACUUUACAGUGUUAACUCACAUGUUUGAAAGAAGCCCUUUUAAAUCAGUGAUAUAGGCUCCAAAUCUAUCACCUCCCAAAUUCAGUAAUGAAAAUUAACUUAUUGGAGAUGCAAUUAUCCCUGCACUUUGUGUUUGGAAAACAAAUUGGUGGAAUCUACCUGGUUGACUGAAGACUAUGCACCCUGACUACUACUGAAUCAUGCUGUUUUGUCCCAAACAAUUUUACAGAGAGAAAGUCCAUUCAUGUAUAUUAUUCACCUACCAAAGCUUCUGUGUUCAUUGUAUGCAAACCCGAGUGUCCACGGACCACAGAGAGCAGCGUGUGCAAUGUAGAACGAGACACAGUGUGUGUAUUAGAUAGCAGCUUCUUACAUUGACUGUGACAGUGACCUUAAAUACUAGUGCGGCACUGUGCGUUCACCAUCUGGCAUGCUGGAGUUUACAAAAACAGCCCAGAACAAGAUUUUAAUAGAGGUGGGUGUCCUCGUUGUCUUUCAGAUGCUGUUGCUUAUCAGUCGUCAGAGACUAUUUGUCAGU